AAAGACUUAGAAUCCUGGGAAGCCCCGUCUGAGGAGGGGAAGCUGUUGCAGUACGUGGAUGAUAUCCUGAUCGCCACCAAAACAGAGAAAGAUUGUAUGACGUGGACGGUGAGUCUGUUGAAUUUCCUGGGACUCCAGGGGUACUGGGUAUCCAAGAAAAAGGCACAGCAGGAACACAGGAGAACCGGUACAUCAUGACUGUUUGGAAACCAUUGAAGCAACAUACGCCAGUUGCCCAGACCUGAAAGACAGCCCCAUGGAAAAUGGGGAAACUUGGUUCACAGAUGGAAGCAGUUACGUCCUAAAUGGUAAUUGACACGCGGGAUACGCUGUCACCACCAGCCAAGAGAAAAAACUCUGGAGCCACAGUGGGAAGGACCAUUUCAAGUAUUACUUACCUCCUUCACCGCGAUUAGGAUCAAGGAACGGAGCGCCUGGAUCCAUCACACUAGGGUGAAGAAGGCACCCAAAGGACAAUGGACUUCACAAGAAAAGGGACCUUUGAAGCUCAAAUUUGUAAGACAUUGAUUGUCAUGCUCCUGAGUUGGACCUUGCCCAAGGGGCAGGCUUGGGAUCGAAAUACUUAUUUAAAUAUGACAGAGAGUAUCUUGAAAGUACUAAAUUUAUCAGAUUGUUGGGUAUGUAAUCCCCUUCCUCAG
This is a long non-coding RNA of Aquila chrysaetos chrysaetos, 659 nucleotides long. RefSeq lists it as uncharacterized. The record is from RefSeq and is a predicted model, not a curated record. NCBI's taxonomy places the organism in Eukaryota, Metazoa, Chordata, Aves, Accipitriformes, Accipitridae. The transcript is spliced from 3 exons.